GCACUGCUCCGAGUACCGGCGGGCUCCUGCCUCCAGCCCUGCGGGGCAGCACCGGGCCGGUACCUGCCGCCGGCUGCACCCGCUGGGGGCCGUGCGGCCUGCAGAGCUCCUGGCCUCGCACCUCGCCUCGCGCCUUGUGCCCGUGUCGGGGUAGGGACAGGGACAGGCACGGGCCACCGGCGCAGGAGUGGGACCGGUGGUGGGUUUGCACCCGCCAUUGCUGCCCUCUCGCAUUCACCUCCAGAACGUCUCCAUUCUUGGUACAUCUUCACACGUGGGAGCUGGAGAAACUGGUGUCUGGUGUGGUGUCUGUGUGAGCCCCAAGGGAUGGAGCGAUGGCCGUGGGGAUCCCACCGGCCACGGCCCGCGCGGGGUGAGGGGACCCUGCAGGAGAGUUGCCCUCACGCGGGUCAGGGUUUAAAACAGAACUAGUUGUUCCCUGGGCAGGCAGUGUUCUGAAUGCUUUAAGGAGGAAAAGCAGUAUUACCAGUUGUGAAAGGUGUCACAGCUGUGUGGAAGGUGGUGUAGUGUGGAGAUUAAGUUUAUUUUCUGGCCCAUCAUGCAUGUGUCAUUCUGGUGUGUUCAUGAGCAGCUUUGCGUGCUGUACACCUCUAGUAUGUCGUGCAUUAAAAGCCAUGCAUCAACUGAAAUAAUGUAAACGCUCCAAACUUGGGGCUGGCAAUAAAAUGCAUUUGCAAAAAGGAUUCAUUCUGUCUGCAAAACGUGGAUGAGGUCGUGGGUAACUGGCUUCAGCAGUGAAUGAAUUAACAAUUACUGUAAAUAUUUGUGCAAUUUACAUGAAAUGUCAGUCUAAUGUUGCUGUCCAGCACAAGGGCUUUCCCCUGGAUGGUUUUUACCUCAAGGGCUUUCAUUAUCAACAGUCUAAUGACUUAAAACUACUCUGUUUUCUUAGCUUGUGCAGGAUCAAGGGGUCAGAGAGUAUAUAUCAUGCUCUAGAGGGAAUAUACAAUUGGCGUGUCAGGAAAUACCCUUCUUUGGGCAGCUGAAGUUAGCUCAGUUGAAAAGUAUGCUGGAGAUUUAGCAAGAGAGUUGAAUGAUGUGAUGUGGAGAAUACUGGAGGUUUGUUUGUUAAAGUGGGCUAGAGAGAAUUCCCAGAUCACCACUACAGGCAAUUUGCCUCUGAGGUAUGCUGUAGAAAAUUCCUAGCAUAAACAGUAUCUGGCAUGAUGAGCAAUCUGGGCAUAAUUAGUAAAAGGGAAGCAUAUCAAAAAUCUAUCAGUCAGCACUGAGAACCUUUUUCAUUCCCUCACCUGCCCCGUUCUGUUGGUGGUGCUCAAGAUGAGCCUGACUGGAGCUUUGAGAGUCAGGAUUAAGUGUUUACAUUUUUCUUUUGUUUCAGGUGAAAGUUAACACAGGUGUCCAAAACCAAAACGUACUAGAAGAGUGUGCAUCUGCAGAAUGGAAUGUUCCCAUGGAGUCCUUGUAUUCUGUUGUCUAAAUUCUUUCCCUGUGUAUGGAUUGUUGAUGCAAGAAAAGAAAGCACAGUGGCCCCUUUGGAGCUCCUGUGGUCAUUCAGAAGAACCCAGUAUCUAUGUAUGUCAAAAAACUCAUGCUGAUGAGUGCAGGAUCCAGAAUUGUUGAAUUUACACCUCAGAGCUCAUCUACAGCUCCACCCUGACCUUCAUUAAUAGCACCAGAUCAGAUCAAAUAGCCAAAGUCAAUCUGCUGGGCUGUUCUAAACAACAAGGAGAGAAGGUAAUGUCCUUGAUGCUGCUACCAGUGAACCCAAGGGCAGAAUUAGGUACAACUUUGGAUGCUGUGAUGUUGAAGCCAGCUUCCUAAUUCCCAAGCAUGGCUAGCCCUAGAGGAUACUCUCAAGAAGCAGCAUAGAAGAAAAGUUCUAUCCUUGUAUGAAAGACCAGCUUUGAGGGCCAUUUCUUUCCUGUUAAGAGGGCAGGAAGACCAGGCCAUCUGUCACAAGAGCAGCAUCUAUAAGAAAAACUGCAUUAACUGCACUUUAACUCAUCUUCCUUGAUAAUUUCCUCACUUGUGGCUCCGACUGCUUCAUGUUUUAUUUCUGACAAACAAAAGAGACUUAUUAAAGCAGUGGUUUGCUUCAUUCAUUUUUGAAAUAAAAACUCAGUAAGUGAUGGGUUGUCAA
Molecule: long non-coding RNA, 2122 nt
Organism: Melopsittacus undulatus (budgerigar)
Lineage: Eukaryota; Metazoa; Chordata; Aves; Psittaciformes; Psittaculidae
Exons: 5
Source: RefSeq, a predicted model, not a curated record